RNAcentral lists this ribosomal RNA (119 nucleotides) under Gossypium hirsutum (cotton). The record is from RNAcentral. Lineage: Eukaryota; Viridiplantae; Streptophyta; Magnoliopsida; Malvales; Malvaceae.
GGGUGUGAUCAUACCAGCAUUAAGGCAUCCGAUCCCAUCAGAACUCCGCAGUUAAGCGUUCUUGGGCCAGAGUAGUACUUGGAUGGGUGACCUCUUGGGAUGUCCUCGUGUUCCACCCA